UACGUAGGUGACCAGCGUUGUCCGGAUUUACUGGGCGUAAAGAGCGCGCAGGCGGUCGUUCAAGUCGAGUGCGAAAGCCCCCGGCUCAACUGGGGAGGGUCACUCGAUACUGAUCGACUUGAAGGCAGGAGAGGGAAGCGGAAUUCCCGGUGUAGUGGUGAAAUGCGUAGAUAUCGGGAGGAACACCAGUGGCGAAGGCGGCUUCCUGGCCUGUUCUUGACGCUGAGGCGCGAAAGUUAGGGGAGCAAACGGG
This 253-nucleotide ribosomal RNA is filed under the name uncultured bacterium. RNAcentral describes it as "partial 16S ribosomal RNA". It matches the Rfam family "Bacterial small subunit ribosomal RNA", at positions 524 to 776 of the family's 1533-position model. The record is from RNAcentral.